Molecule: transfer RNA, 70 nt
Filed under: Zygosaccharomyces rouxii
Lineage: Eukaryota; Fungi; Ascomycota; Saccharomycetes; Saccharomycetales; Saccharomycetaceae
Description: partial transfer RNA
Rfam family: tRNA
About the family: Transfer RNA (tRNA) molecules are approximately 80 nucleotides in length. Their secondary structure includes four short double-helical elements and three loops (D, anti-codon, and T loops). Further hydrogen bonds mediate the characteristic L-shaped molecular structure. tRNAs have two regions of fundamental functional importance: the anti-codon, which is responsible for specific mRNA codon recognition, and the 3' end, to which the tRNAs corresponding amino acid is attached (by aminoacyl-tRNA synthetases). tRNAs cope with the degeneracy of the genetic code in two manners: having more than one tRNA (with a specific anti-codon) for a particular amino acid; and 'wobble' base-pairing, i.e. permitting non-standard base-pairing at the 3rd anti-codon position.
Source: RNAcentral
GCGCAAAUGGUUUAGUGGUAAAAUUCAUCGUUGCCAUCGAUGAGCCCUGGUUCGAUUCCGGGUUUGCGCA